Molecule: long non-coding RNA, 471 nt
Organism: Mustela lutreola (European mink)
Lineage: Eukaryota; Metazoa; Chordata; Mammalia; Carnivora; Mustelidae
Exons: 3
Source: RefSeq, a predicted model, not a curated record
CCAGGAGGAGAAGGGAACCGCUAAUUGCCUGAGCAGACUAAUUGGCCGUGGGAGGGGUAGGUGGGCCGAAUGAGAGGGUCUGGAGCUUCCUUGAGACCAGGGAGACUGGACCUUACUCACCGCUGGAUUCCCAAAGCACAGCACAAGCCCAGCCCCCAGCUCCCCGCCUUCCUGGGAAGGAGAAGUGAUCUUACCAGGACCCAGCAGAAGAGAAAACCCAGUCCAGGAGCAUUUUACGUAGAUGUCUUGAAGAGCUGUGACAUCCUAAGCGUGCAAAAGAGGGAAGAUUCCAUCCACUUCAAAACUCCUGACUUGGGGCGCCUGGGUGGCUCAGUGGGUUAAGCCUCUGCCCUUGGCUCAGGGCAUGAUCCCAGGGUCCUGGGAUCGAACCCCACAUUAGGCUCUCUGCUGGGCAGGGUGCCUGCUUCCCAACCCCCUCUUCUCUCUGCCUGCCUCUCUGCCUACUUGUGA